This 349-nucleotide ribosomal RNA is filed under the name uncultured bacterium. RNAcentral describes it as "bacterial SSU rRNA". It matches the Rfam family "Bacterial small subunit ribosomal RNA", at positions 917 to 1269 of the family's 1533-position model. The record is from RNAcentral.
GGGCCCGCACAAGCGGUGGAGCAUGUGGUUUAAUUCGAUGAUACGCGAGGAACCUUACCAGGGCUUAAAUGUAAGUUGCAUUAGUUAGAGAUAGCUAUUUCUUCGGACUACUUACAAGGUGCUGCAUGGUUGUCGUCAGCUCGUGCCGUGAGGUGUCAGGUUAAGUCCUAUAACGAGCGCAACCCCUGUUGUUAGUUGCCAUCGAGUCAUGUCGGGAACUCUAACAAGACUGCCGGUGCAAACCGUGAGGAAGGUGGGGAUGACGUCAAAUCAUCACGGCCCUUACGUCCUGGCUACACACGUGCUACAAUGGCCGGUACAGAGGGAAGCCACCCCGCGAGGGGGAGCG